GAUGAACGCUAGCUACAGGCUUAACACAUGCAAGUCGAGGGGCAGCAUGUAGGCGGGCUUGCCCGCCUAUGAUGGCGACCGGCGCACGGGUGAGUAACGCGUAUCCGACCUGCCGCACACUCCGGGAUAGCCUUGCGAAAGCAAGUUUAAUACCGGAUGCCGUCGUGAUGCCGCAUGGUGUCAUGACGAAAGGUUGAUUCCGGUGUGCGAUGGGGAUGCGUCCCAUUAGCUGGUUGGCGGGGUAACGGCCCACCAAGGCGACGAUGGGUAGGGGUUCUGAGAGGAAGGUCCCCCACAUUGGAACUGAGACACGGUCCAAACUCCUACGGGAGGCAGCAGUGAGGAAUAUUGGUCAAUGGGCGUAAGCCUGAACCAGCCAAGUAGCGUGCAGGAUGACGGCCCUAUGGGUUGUAAACUGCUUUUAAGCGGGGAUAAAGUCAGGGACGUGUCCCUGUUUGCAGGUACCGCUUGAAUAAGGACCGGCUAAUUCCGUGCCAGCAGCCGCGGUAAUACGGAAGGUCCGGGCGUUAUCCGGAUUUAUUGGGUUUAAAGGGAGCGUAGGCGGGACGCCAAGUCAGCUGUGAAAUGCCAUGGCUCAACCAUGGAGCUGCAGUUGAAACUGGCGUUCUUGAGUUGUCGCAGGGGCGGUGGAACUCGUGGUGUAGCGGUGAAAUGCUUAGAUAUCACGAAGAACUCCGAUCGCGAAGGCAGCCGCCCGGUGGCCGACUGACGCUGAGGCUCGAAGGUGCGGGUAUCAAACAGGAUUAGAUACCCUGGUAGUCCGCACGGUAAACGUUGGAUACUCGCGGUUGGUUUUUAUUGAGUCAGCCGCCAAGCGAAAGUGUUAAGUAUCCCACCUGGGGAGUACGCCGGCAACGGUGAAACUCAAAGGAAUUGACGGGGGCCCGCACAAGCGGAGGAACAUGUGGUUUAAUUCGAUGAUACGCGAAGAACCUUACCCGGGUUUGAAUUCGGCAGGAAGUCUCCGGAGACGGGGAUGUCCCUUCGGGGUCUGCCGGAAGGUGCUGCAUGGUUGUCGUCAGCUCGUGCCGUGAGGUGUCGGCUUAAGUGCCAUAACGAGCGCAACCCUCGCCUACGGUUGCCAUCGGGUGAUGCCGGGCACUCCGUGGGGACUGCCCCCGCAAGGGGCGAGGAAGGGGGGGAUGACGUCAAAUCAGCACGGCCCUUACGUCCGGGGCUACACACGUGUUACAAUGGGUGGUACAGCGGGCAGCGCGGCGGCGACGCCAAGCGAAUCCCGAAAGCCACCCCCAGUUCGGACUGGAGUCUGCAACCCGACUCCACGAAGCCGGAUUCGCUAGUAAUCGCGCAUCAGCCAUGGCGCGGUGAAUACGUUCCCGGGCCUUGUACACACCGCCCGUCAAGCCAUGAAAGCCGGGGGUGCCUGAAAGCCGUGACCGCGAGGGUCGGCCUAGGGUAAGACCGGUGAUUGGGGCU
This 1458-nucleotide ribosomal RNA is filed under the name uncultured Prevotellaceae bacterium. RNAcentral describes it as "bacterial SSU rRNA". It matches the Rfam family "Bacterial small subunit ribosomal RNA". The record is from RNAcentral. Lineage: Bacteria; Pseudomonadati; Bacteroidota; Bacteroidia; Bacteroidales; Prevotellaceae.